Molecule: long non-coding RNA, 437 nt
Organism: Ochotona princeps (American pika)
Lineage: Eukaryota; Metazoa; Chordata; Mammalia; Lagomorpha; Ochotonidae
Exons: 3
Source: RefSeq, a predicted model, not a curated record
CACUUUCAGUGUUCUUUUUGUGUUUUUGCACCUGUUGGAGUAGAUUCUGCUUAAAAAGUACCUUACUAAACGUGCUAUAUAACUCCAAUCAAAUUUCCUACAGAGGCACGUGCUAAAUGUUGCAGCUUCCCUGCCUGCCCUCUCCUGCCAUUUGCUGUUUUCUGAGCAUUCUAAUUUGCCCACCGCUGAUGCUCAUCUCCACUGAUGUGAUUGUAACAUGCAGAUGACCACAAUAGCCAGAGCUGAGCCCAAGUCAAAAGCCUCCUGCAGGUCUCCUACAUGGUUGUAGGGUCCCAAGAACUCAGGUUAACCUCUACUACUCACCCUCCCAGACAAUGAGCAUGAAGCUGGAUUGGAAUUGGAGCAGCAAAGACAAGAACUGGAGCCCAAAUGGGAUCUUGGCACUUGUAGGUGGAGGAUUAGCCUAUUAGGCCACU